UAUAGCAAUUUUUCCUGUUCC
RNAcentral lists this non-coding RNA (21 nucleotides) under Caenorhabditis elegans. Lineage: Eukaryota; Metazoa; Nematoda; Chromadorea; Rhabditida; Rhabditidae. The record is from RNAcentral.